Molecule: long non-coding RNA, 463 nt
Organism: Physella acuta
Lineage: Eukaryota; Metazoa; Mollusca; Gastropoda; Physidae
Source: RefSeq, a predicted model, not a curated record
CCCCAUUCUUGAUGCUUAAAAUAUGAUGUAUUCACAAAAAUGUAUGUAUAAGGUAGCCAACUGAACUACUGCAGCACGCUAAGCAUGUUGGGGCAUGAAGUAGCACUAAGGCUACUACUGCAGUACGCCAAGAAUGUUGGGGCAUGAAGUAGCACUAAGGCUACUACUGCAGUACGCCAAGAAUGUUGGGGCAUGAAGUAGCACUAAGGCUACUACUGCAGUACGCCAAGAAUGUUGGAGCAUGAAGUAGCACUAAGACUACUACUGCAGCAUGCCAAGCUUGUUGGGGCAUGAAGUAGCACUAAGUCUACUUUCUAGACAACCUUUGGACGGGGCGCGUCCAGUGUAGUGGUGUUGAUAGAUCUCUGUAGUGAUGUUUUAAUGACGGCUAAAGCUGAUCAUAAGAUGUGAUACUUUUACGUCACAAAAACUUUUUUUUUUGUAAUAAAACUGUUGAAGCAAC